Non-coding RNA from Biomphalaria pfeifferi, 276 nucleotides. NCBI's taxonomy places the organism in Eukaryota, Metazoa, Mollusca, Gastropoda, Planorbidae. The record is from the annotation of a GenBank genome assembly.
GAGCACACACAACAAACUCUCGAGCUGCCUGUCGGUGCGCGCCACCAAAAACCAAAACAAAGACCCCGACUAAAAACAAAAAACAAAUCAGUUUUCGCGGACGUUUUUGUGUCAGUUCCAGAAACAUUUGUUGUUGACGUCUGCGAUUAGCUUGAUGAAGAUUUAAGUUCUCGCUACAGUUACACGUUUGUUCUAGAAGGGAUUAUUAAAAACCAUUUUAUGUUUAAUUUGGAAAGUUAAGGGAUCUUGGUACUGAAGAGAUAUAUGCCUAAGUAG